GGCAUUCUCUGCUAAAAGUUAACAUCAAAAUUCAUCCAACAUGAAACUCUACGUGCAGAUUAUGCUUUUGGCGUUACUCGCGCUGGUUGCUUUCGUGCGUGCUAGGGAAAUGCCCGUAACGGAAAAAGUUGAUCCUCCCCCCUUUGAACCAGACGAAUACAUUCAUCCGACAGAUUAUGGAAUAUAAUAAUAAAAAUGGUAUUACUAACGUUUGGUGCCUCUAUGAAAACUCCAAGUUAGUACAUGAAGUCAGAUUCCAAUGAUUCGAAGGUGA
Long non-coding RNA from Anopheles gambiae (African malaria mosquito), 274 nucleotides. RefSeq lists it as uncharacterized. The record is from RefSeq and is a predicted model, not a curated record. Lineage: Eukaryota; Metazoa; Arthropoda; Insecta; Diptera; Culicidae. The transcript has 2 exons.